Glycine soja is the source of this 453-nucleotide long non-coding RNA. RefSeq lists it as uncharacterized. The record is from RefSeq and is a predicted model, not a curated record. The transcript is spliced from 2 exons. Lineage: Eukaryota; Viridiplantae; Streptophyta; Magnoliopsida; Fabales; Fabaceae.
AGAAUGAAUUUUUACUAUAAUUGUAAUAAUUGUUUUAAUUAAUUUUUUAUUGGUUUAUCAUCAUUAACCUUAUAUGGUCGCAGGUGCGAGUAUGAGUAUAUAGGUACCAUAUAGAUACGGGGAUGAAGAUUAAAAUUGUAACCUGCGAACUAUGGGACUAGGUAUGACUAGCUCGUUGAGGAAAGAAAAAAAGAAAGGGGACAAAUGUACAAUGCUUUUGUGGCUCUCUAUUCCACUACUUGUACAAGAUUUUGUAGUUGAUGACAUUUUAUUUGUCUUUGCCUUUGUACAGUUGAAAUUCAAAUGUUAGAAUAAUUUCACAAUAUACAUCCAAAUGGAAAAUUCAAAUGAAAGAAUGUUCUAUGAGCGAAAUGUCCUUGAGAUGUUUUUCAUGUGCAGACAGGUUGUUUGGACAUUAACUGACAUAAUAUAAAUUAUUGUGUAAGUUAGUUA